AUGCAUUGUGUAAUUAGUAGGUGAUCGGGUUUUUGAUUAAUUAAUCAAGCUUGUGUCAUUCGUAAAACCUACUUACAAUACAUUGUGAUAUUGUUUUUUAAGCAAGCAACCAUAUUAACAUUUUUUUAGCUCAUGUUUUAUUGUUUCAUCCAUUGUUGAUGAGGGGUUAGGCUCUGACUACAAACGAUGCAUGUCUUUUUUCGGGAUUUAUUAUACGAUAAGAAUCAUCAAUGUGUAUAUAUUUUGUGCAUGUUGUCAUCUAGGGUUUAUCGUAUUUGAUUAUUAUAAGUCAUACCGUGAAUCCUUCUUGACCGACACAUGUUUCUUAAUUAAGAAACCGAUCUCAUUGUAGUAUAAAAAACAAAACACAGGAGAAUUGUGUUUUGGGCCCAGCUGGGCCCAAAAAUUAAGAAAUGGUCCAUCUAACUGACCUAAUUAAUGAUAAGGAUAUCAAAUGUUAACAGACGAAAAUG
This 473-nucleotide long non-coding RNA is filed under the name Vitis vinifera (wine grape). RNAcentral's name for it is "long non-coding RNA (VVIN_LNC005383)". The record is from RNAcentral. Lineage: Eukaryota; Viridiplantae; Streptophyta; Magnoliopsida; Vitales; Vitaceae.